Molecule: microRNA precursor, 94 nt
Filed under: Marmota monax (woodchuck)
Lineage: Eukaryota; Metazoa; Chordata; Mammalia; Rodentia; Sciuridae
Source: RNAcentral
AGUAGGAUGGCUAGAUUGUAUAGUAAGUGUAUCUUUAAGAAACUGCCAAACUGUUUUUUAAAGUAGUUGAACUAUUUUCACUCCAAACAGCAGU